AUAGGAUGGUAGCUAAUAGAGGAAUCCUAAAGGUGUUGCAUAGCGAUAGGGUUAUUCUAGAGAAAAAAAAGAGGACAAAAAGAUAUUACUAUCUUGUAGGGAGCCCAGUGUGAGGUGGAGCUUCAGGAGCCAAGUGGAGCUCAGAGCUAGGUGGAGCUCCAGAUGGAGAUGGAUUAGAUACUAGAUUAGAGACUUGGGAG
This 200-nucleotide long non-coding RNA is filed under the name Elaeis guineensis (African oil palm). RNAcentral's name for it is "long non-coding RNA (EGUI_LNC071864)". Lineage: Eukaryota; Viridiplantae; Streptophyta; Magnoliopsida; Arecales; Arecaceae. The record is from RNAcentral.